GUUUGAUCAUGGCUCAGGAUGAACGCUGGCGGCGUGCUUAACACAUGCAAGUCGAACGAAGCACUUUAUUUGAUUUCCUUCGGGACUGAUUAUUUUGUGACUGAGUGGCGGACGGGUGAGUAACGCGUGGGUAACCUGCCUUGUACAGGGGGAUAACAGUUGGAAACGGCUGCUAAUACCGCAUAAGCGCACAGCAUCGCAUGAUGCAGUGUGAAAAACUCCGGUGGUAUAAGAUGGACCCGCGUUGGAUUAGCUAGUUGGUGAGGUAACGGCCCACCAAGGCGACGAUCCAUAGCCGACCUGAGAGGGUGACCGGCCACAUUGGGACUGAGACACGGCCCAAACUCCUACGGGAGGCAGCAGUGGGGAAUAUUGCACAAUGGGCGAAAGCCUGAUGCAGCGACGCCGCGUGAGCGAAGAAGUAUUUCGGUAUGUAAAGCUCUAUCAGCAGGGAAGAUAAUGACGGUACCUGACUAAGAAGCACCGGCUAAAUACGUGCCAGCAGCCGCGGUAAUACGUAUGGUGCAAGCGUUAUCCGGAUUUACUGGGUGUAAAGGGAGCGCAGGCGGUGCGGCAAGUCUGAUGUGAAAGCCCGGGGCUCAACCCCGGUACUGCAUUGGAAACUG
RNAcentral lists this ribosomal RNA (626 nucleotides) under uncultured bacterium. Its description in RNAcentral is "bacterial SSU rRNA". It matches the Rfam family "Bacterial small subunit ribosomal RNA", at positions 11 to 635 of the family's 1533-position model. The record is from RNAcentral.